UGUGUGUGUGUGUGAGUGCGUGUGUGGCUCCCCCAUACUGGGGACCUGCUACAGAUACGCAAGUCGUAAAAUGGGGACAUAAAAAACAUUGGGGACUUGAUUUAAGUCCCCAAUCUUUUUUUUCGUUGAAAACGAAAAAUUGACAUGUCUAAAUCCUAAAAAUAUCAAAAAAAUAACGUGUCCCAGUUACGGGGUUUUAUCGGACACAUGAUUACACAGAUAUCGUGUUGAUUGAAGUUGCCAUCUUCACUUACACAUCUCUGACGUUACACACUUCUAGAUUACGCAUGCGCGUGUGUAAAAAAAGCGGAAGUCCAAUUGUUUUGAAGCGGGAUACAAUAAACAUGUGGAAAAGAAGACACGGAGGAAAGCCUGGGCACAGAAUCCUAGAUUCUUUUGAUAAGGAUGAUUUUUAUGCUGGAAAACGAAUGUUCAAGGCAACCAGAAGCUUGAGUCCAUCCUGAACAUAGAGACAACACAGAUAUUAGCAAAGCUGGAUAAUAUUGCUAGAGGAUUAGUUAAUGCAACUCAGCAAGGACUAGUGAUGGAUAUGUUCCAGGUUCCACAGCUAGGAGAAUGUCAGGAAGAAAAGCCUCAUCAUUAAAAGUGUUACAGGCACUAAAGGAAAAUGAUGGCAUUGUUUUUGUGUGGGUGAUGAGAAUAAGAGUGAGGAGGAGAUAGAUGAUAGUCAAGACAAUCAGGAUGUCCACACCGUCACUCCAGGGAAGAAGAAGUCAUUUCUGAUCCUAGAUCUACUGUGGAAGAUUCUACAUGCAAGUGACAAGAGAUACAAAAAAAUCCAAAGGACAUCAUGAGAAAUGAAUUUAAUCAACAGACAUUGUGGAAAAGAUUUUCCAAAAAAUAGUAAUAGGACCUUAAGAAGUGUAAAACACCAAGGAUAUACAUUUGUAAUCUUGUUAAAAACAGAGAAAAUCUUGAUUAACAUUCUACUUUCAAUUGAUAUACUUUGAGAAAUAUGAAAAAAACUGUUUUAGAGCCACAGUAAUGGAGGACAUUGAAUUCUUUGCAGCAGUUUUAUCAUUAGGCCAUUCCAUUUUUUUUCUGUGUUUAGUGACUGCAGAUGGAUUGGUUUUGAGAUCAUGCAAAUUAAGAACAAACACAAAAUAAAAUUGACAAAUACAAAUCUUUGACAAGCAAUUUACUCUUCUGGGAUCAGCAUCUCUCUUUUUUUAAAAGUGAUGUGCCUAAGUUUUUUUUUUUUGUUUCAUUAAACUAGUAGUAGUAGUUUAAUUUAGUUAUAAUACGAGGAAAAUUCUUAAAUGAUGCUAAAGGAGUUCUAGAACUUUGCGUAAAAUGUUGUUUUUUCCCCUUUUGGUUUGUGAUUUUUCUUUUGGAACGAAGAAAUGUUUGAAAUUAAGGUUGGAUGGGAAACAAAGAAAAAAACUUGGAAUGGCCUCAUAUAACCUACAUGGACUAAACUUGCAUAGAUGAAGAGUGCUUAAGAAGCUGUGCAUGAUGUAUGUAGGAAAUGAUUUUGAAGUAUUAAAUAUUCUAUGCAAAAGGAAAUUUUCUCAAUUUAGUUAAUUUUUGCAAAAAAAUGAUUAAGCAUCACAUACAUAACCUUUCUGAAAGUGAAAAAAAUAUUCAUCCUAAUUAAGUUUGAUCAAGUCUUCAGUUCAAGUUAUAUGCAAAAAUACAUAUUUCAUUCUUUAUAAACACUAUGAUAUCCCUGUACUUUUCUUAUGUGAAUUGAAUGUAAAGAGUUGGGUUUGAUGCAUAAAUAGUCCUGUUCUUAUACUAGUUCUUUGAAAAUCACCCCCUGUCCCAUUUCUAACAUCAAAAUAAAGUAUGGAGAUUUCUCAUUUCCUUUAACAAAGAUUUUUCAUAGAGUCCUGAGAUUGGAAGUUAAACAAGAUUGCAAAGUUCUUGAAAUAUUAAAAAUGCAAAAAAAGGAAUUUUCAGGAUAUGAGAGAAUUCAAAUGGGACCUUGAGACUUGGUCAGUUAAUUGGUAUAUAUAUUGAGGGCCAUUUUAUGGAUAAAGUGAACCUAGCUCUUUUCACCAUUUACACUGUCACCAAGUAUCAAAAUGAUAGACUGAUGCAUUGGUUACCAAAACUGAGUACUUUUGAUUUUUCACAAUUCACAGGGCCAAAAAAGCUUUCAGUGAACCUUGCUCUUUAUUACAUUUAUGUCUGUAAACUUUUACCAUAUGCAAACAUCCUUUGUCUCUAGAAAUGCCUUUAUCUUCUGUAAGUCCCCAAACUUUUAACAUGUGUAUAAGGUCCUCAGUCUCUAUAAAUACCUGUAUCAUGUGUAAGUCCCUAAACUUUUAACAUGUGUAUAAGGUCCUCAGUCUCUAUAAAUACAUGUAUCAUGUGUAAGUCCCCAAACUUUUAACAUGUGUAUGAGGUCCUCAGUCUCUAUAAAUACCUGUAUCAUGUGUAAGUCCCCAAACUUUUAACAUGUGUAUGAGGUCCUCAGUCUCUAUAAAUACCUUUAUAAUGUGUAAGUCCCCAAACUUUUAACAUGUGUAUGAGGUCCUCAGUCUCUAUAAAUACCUGUAUCAUGUGUAAGUCCCCAAACUUUAAACAUGUGUAUGAGGUCCUCAGUCUCUAUAAAUACCUGUAUAAUGUGUAAGUCCCCAAACUUUUAACAUGUGUAUAAGGUCCUCAGUCUCUUUAAAUACCUGUAUCAUGUGUAAACCCCAAACUUUUAACAUGUGUAUAAGGUCCUCAGUCUCUAUAAAUACCUGUAUCAUGUGUAAGUCCCCAAACUUUUAACAUGUGUAUGAGGUCUUCAGUCUCUAUAAAUACCUGUAUCAUGUGUAAGUCCCCAAACUUUUAACAUGUGUAUGAGGUCCUCAGUCUCUAUAAAUACCUGUAUCAUGUGUAAGUCCCCAAACUUUUAACAUGUGUAUAAGGUCCUCAGUCUCUAUAAAUACCUGUAUCAUGUGUAAGUCCCCAAACUUUUAACAUGUGUAUAAGGUCCUCAGUCUCUAUAAAUACCUGUAUCAUGUGUAAGUCCCCAAACUUUUAACAUGUGUAUAAGGUCCUCAGUCUCUAUAAAUACCUGUAUCAUGUGUAAGUCCCCAAACUUUUAACAUGUGUAUGAGGUCCUCAGUCUCUAUAAAUACCUGUAUCAUGUGUAAGUCCCCAAUUUUUUAACAUGUGUAUGAGGUCCUCAGUCUCUAUAAUACCUGUAUCAUGUGUAAGUCCCCAAACUUUUAACAUGUGUAUGAGGUCCUCAGUCUCUAUAAAUACCUGUAUCAUGUGUAAGUCCCCAAUUUUUUAACAUGUGUAUGAGGUCCUCAGUCUCUAUAAAUAGCUGUAUCAUGUGUAAGUCCCCAAACUUUUAACAUGUGUAUGAGGUCCUCAGUCUCUAUAAUACCUGUAUCAUGUGUAAGUCCCCAAACUUUUAACAUGUGUAUGAGGUCCUCAGUCUCUAUAAUACCUGUAUCAUGUGUAAGUCCCAAAACUUUUAACAUGUGUAUGAGGUCCUCAGUCUCUAUAAAUACCUGUAUCAUGUGUAAGUCCCCAAACUUUUAACAUGUGUAUAAGGUCCUCAGUCUCUAUAAAUACCUUUAUAAUGUGUAAGUCCCCAAACUUUUAACAUGUGUAUGAGGUCCUCAGUCUCUAUAAAUACCUGUAUCAUGUGUAAGUCCCCAAACUUUUAACAUGUGUAUGAGGUCCUCAGUCUCUAUAAAUACCUGUGUCAUGUGUAAGUCCCCAAACUUUUAACAUGUGUAUGAGGUCCUCAGUCUCUAUAAAU
This is a long non-coding RNA of Saccostrea cuccullata (small rock oyster), 3730 nucleotides long. RefSeq lists it as uncharacterized. The record is from RefSeq and is a predicted model, not a curated record. NCBI's taxonomy places the organism in Eukaryota, Metazoa, Mollusca, Bivalvia, Ostreida, Ostreidae. The transcript has 6 exons.